AUGGCGAGCUAUCGAUUCCUCGUCCAGCAGAUCAGCGGAUACUUCGAAGGGUGCGAGUUCCUUCACGUGCCAAGGGCCGACAACGACCAAGCAGAUGCCCUAGCACGGAUCGGCUCCACCCGACAAGCCAUACCGACUGGCGUCUCCCUCCAGCGCCUCCUCAAGCCCUCCAUCAAGCCGUCUCCAGAGUCGGAUUCUAUCUUCGUACCGCCUGCGCCAGAUGCAGCCGGAUCCGACUGGAGGAACCCCGCAGGCGGCACGGGGAAUUCGACAACUGGCCCGGGGACUGCCGUAGUCGCACCCGGCCCGGGGACAUUAGAACCCGGCCCGGGGACUGCAGCAGUCGGCCCGGGGACUGCAAUGACACAAGAAGCGGUGGCCGACUCCAAUCCCACGCCACCCAGCCCACCCACCCGAGUCAUGGUGGCUACACUAACAGAAGAAGAAGUCACAGCUCCAUCAUGGGCCCUGCCCAUCCUCAAGUUCCUAGUCAGCAGAGAGCUGCCGGCUGACGAGAUCUCAGCAAGACUAGUGCAACGGCGAGCCGCAGCAUAUGCAAUAAUCAACAGAGAGCUUGUGAAGCGCAGCGUCACUGGAGACUUCCAGCGUUGUGUCGAGCCAGAAAAAGGAGUGGCAAUCCUCAAGGAUAUCCACCAAGGCGAAUGCGGCCACCACGCAGCCUCAAGAUCACUUGUGGCCAAGGCUUUCCGCCAUGGUUUCUUCUGGCCGACUACCUUGGAGGAUGCUAAAGAAAUAGUCAAGAGCUGCAGAGGAUGCCAAGUUUUUAGUUCCAAGCAACACCUGCCGGCUUCUGCACUCAAGACCAUUCCCCUCACCUGGCCUUUUGCCGUCUGGGGACUGGACAUGGUGGGCCCUUUCAAGACAGCCCGCGGCGGCUUGACGCAUCUACUUAUCGCUGUGGAUAAGUUCACAAAGUGGAUCAAAGCAAAGCCGAUCAAGAAGCUGAACGGGCCGACUGCCGUGACAUUCAUCACUGACAUCACUACUCGGUACGGCGUGCCGCACAGCAUCAUCACCGACAACGGCACGAACUUCGCCAAAGGAGCACUAGCACGUUUCUGUGCGACGCAGGGCAUCCGACUGGACUUAGCGUCUGUUGCCCACCCGCAGUCAAACGGCCAGGUCAAGCGAGCAAAUGGACUCAUCCUCUCCGGCAUCAAGCCCCGACUGGUUGUACCACUGGAGCGAUCGGCCGGCUGCUGGCUUGAUGAGCUGCCGGCUGUCCUCUGGAGUCUGCGCACUACACCCAACAAGUCAACCGGCUUUACUCCAUUCUUCCUUGUAUAUGGUGCCGAGGCUGUCAUCCCAACAGACAUCGAGUUUGACUCGCCUCGGAUCACCAUGUACACGGAGGCGGAGGCCAAGGAAGCAAGAGAAGACGGCGUCGACCUACUGGAAGAAGGUCGGCUGUUAGCACUCAGCCGGUCCGCCAUCUACCAGCAAGGGCUGCGCCGCUACCACAACCGUAAGGUCAAGCCAACAUCCUUCCAAGAGGGCGACCUUGUGCUCUGGCUGAUCCAGCGAACAGCCGGCCAGCACAAGCUCUCGGCCCCUUGGGAAGGCCCCUUCGUCAUCAGCAAGGCACUAGGCAACGACUCCUACUACCUGAUCGACGCGCAAAAACCAAGAGCACGCAAGAGAGACGACUCCGGCAAGGAGUCGGAGCGACCAUGGAACGCAAACCUCCUGAGAAGAUUUUACAGUUGA
RNAcentral lists this ribosomal RNA (1728 nucleotides) under Triticum aestivum (bread wheat). Its description in RNAcentral is "partial small subunit ribosomal RNA". The record is from RNAcentral. Lineage: Eukaryota; Viridiplantae; Streptophyta; Magnoliopsida; Poales; Poaceae.